GUUAUAGGGUCAAGCGAAUAAGUGCAUGUGGUGGAUGCCUUGGCGAUCACAGGCGAUGAAGGACGUAGUAGCUUGCGAAAAGCUGCGGGGAGCUGGCAAACGAGCUUUGAUCCGCAGAUGUCCGAAUGGGGAAACCCGGCCCGUAUGGGUCAUCCCUUGCUGAAUACAUAGGCAAGGGAGGCGAACGCAGUGAACUGAAACAUCUAAGUAGCUGCAGGAAAAGAAAUCAACCGAGAUUCCCAAAGUAGUGGCGAGCGAAAUGGGAACAGCCUUGUACUCUUUAGCAGUAUUGUUAGCGGAACGGAAUGGAAAGUCCGGCCAUAGUGGGUGAUAGCCCCGUACGCGAAAACAGUAUUGUGGAACUAGGUGUACGACAAGUAGGGCGGGACACGUGAAAUCCUGUCUGAAGAUGGGGGGACCAUCCUCCAAGGCUAAAUACUCGUGAUCGACCGAUAGUGAACCAGUACCGUGAGGGAAAGGCGAAAAGAACCCCGGGAGGGGAGUGAAAUAGAUCCUGAAACCGCAUGCAUACAAACAGUCGGAGCCUGGAAACGGGUGACGGCGUACCUUUUGUAUAAUGGGUCAGCGACUUACAUUCAGUGGCAAGCUUAACCGAUUAGGGAAGGCGUAGCGAAAGCGAGUCCGAAUAGGGCGUUCAGUCGCUGGGUGUAGACCCGAAACCAAGUGAUCUAUCCAUGGCCAGGUUGAAGGUGCGGUAACACGUACUGGAGGACCGAACCCACUAACGUUGAAAAGUUAGGGGAUGAGCUGUGGAUAGGGGUGAAAGGCUAAACAAACUUGGAAAUAGCUGGUUCUCUCCGAAAACUAUUUAGGUAGUGCCUCGUGUCUCACCUUCGGGGUAGAGCACUGUCAUGGUUGGGGGGUCUAUUGCUGAUUACCCCGCCAUAGCAAACUCCGAAUACCGAAGAGUGCAAUCACGGGAGACAGACAUCGGGUGCUAACGUCCGGUGUCAAGAGGGAAACAACCCAGACCGCCAGCUAAGGUCCCUAAGAUUGGCUAAGUGGGAAACGAAGUGGGAAGGCUAAAACAGUCAGGAGGUUGGCUUAGAAGCAGCCACCCUUUAAAGAAAGCGUAAUAGCUCACUGAUCGAGUCGUCCUGCGCGGAAGAUGUAACGGGGCUAAGCCAGUCACCGAAGCUGCGGAUGCACGUAAGUGCAUGGUAGGAGAGCGUUCUGUAAGCCUGUGAAGGUGUCUUGUAAAGGAUGCUGGAGGUAUCAGAAGUGCGAAUGCUGACAUGAGUAGCGAUAAAGGGGGUGAAAGGCCCCCUCGCCGUAAGCCCAAGGUUUCCUACGCAACGUUCAUCGGCGUAGGGUGAGUCGGCCCCUAAGGCGAGGCAGAGAUGCGUAGCUGAUGGGAAGCAGGUUAAUAUUCCUGCACCGUCGUAUGAUGCGAUGGGGGACGGAUCGCGGAAGGUUGUCCGGGUGUUGGAAGUCCCGGUCCCUACAUUGGAGAUGGCACUUAGGCAAAUCCGGGUGCGUGAUUCAAGGGUGUGGGGCGAGCGACGUUAGGUCGCGAAGCAAUUGGAAGUGGUUCCAAGAAAAGCCUCUAAGCUUCAGUCAUACGAGACCGUACCGCAAACCGACACAGGUGGGCGAGAUGAGUAUUCUAAGGCGCUUGAGAGAACUCGGGAGAAGGAACUCGGCAAAUUGGUACCGUAACUUCGGGAUAAGGUACGCCCUUGUAGUUUGACUGGCUCGCGCCAGAAGGAUGAAGGGGUUGCAAUAAAAUGGUGGCUGCGACUGUUUAAUAAAAACACAGCACUCUGCAAACACGAAAGUGGACGUAUAGGGUGUGACGCCUGCCCGGUGCCGGAAGAUUAAAUGAUGGGGUGCAAGCUCUUGAUUGAAGUCCCGGUAAACGGCGGCCGUAACUAUAACGGUCCUAAGGUAGCGAAAUUCCUUGUCGGGUAAGUUCCGACCUGCACGAAUGGCGUAACGAUGGCCACACUGUCUCCUCCCGAGACUCAGCGAAGUUGAAGUGUUUGUGAUGAUGCAAUCUCCCCGCGGCUAGACGGAAAGACCCCAUGAACCUUUACUGUAGCUUUGCAUUGGACUUUGAACCGAUCUGUGUAGGAUAGGUGGGAGGCUUUGAAACCGGGACGCUAGUUUCGGUGGAGCCGACCUUGAAAUACCACCCUGGUUUGUUUGAGGUUCUAACCUUGGCCCGUGAAUCCGGGUCGGGGACAGUGCAUGGUAGGCAGUUUGACUGGGGCGGUCUCCUCCCAAAGUGUAACGGAGGAGUUCGAAGGUACGCUUGGUACGGUCGGACAUCGUACCUAAAGUGCAAUGGCAAAAGCGUGCUUAACUGCGAGACCGACAAGUCGAGCAGGUGCGAAAGCAGGACAUAGUGAUCCGGUGGUUCUGUAUGGAAGGGCCAUCGCUCAACGGAUAAAAGGUACUCUGGGGAUAACAGGCUGAUACCGCCCAAGAGUUCAUAUCGACGGCGGUGUUUGGCACCUCGAUGUCGGCUCAUCUCAUCCUGGGGCUGUAGCCGGUCCCAAGGGUAUGGCUGUUCGCCAUUUAAAGAGGUACGUGAGCUGGGUUUAAAACGUCGUGAGACAGUUUGGUCCCUAUCUGCCGUGGGCGUUGGAAUCUUGACGGGGGCUGCUCCUAGUACGAGAGGACCGGAGUGGACGUACCGCUGGUGUACCUGUUGUCUCGCCAGAGGCAUCGCAGGGUAGCUAUGUACGGAAGAGAUAACCGCUGAAAGCAUCUAAGCGGGAAACUCGCCUGAAGAUGAGGAUUCCCUGGAGACUUGAUCUCCCUGAAGGGUCGUUCGAGACCAGGACGUUGAUAGGCUGGGUGUGGAAGCGCAGUAAUGCGUUCAGCUAACCAGUACUAAUUGCCCGUGCGGCUUGAUCCUAUAACC
Molecule: ribosomal RNA, 2890 nt
Filed under: Ralstonia solanacearum
Lineage: Bacteria; Pseudomonadati; Pseudomonadota; Betaproteobacteria; Burkholderiales; Burkholderiaceae
Description: bacterial LSU rRNA
Rfam family: Bacterial large subunit ribosomal RNA
Source: RNAcentral